CAUUAUUAAGUAUAGAAAAGGGAUGUACAAAGAUUUUUCGUUUUUUUUUUAUUCUGGGAUCAUAAGGAUUUGAAGGAUAUAUAUUAGGAUCCAAUAGAUGGCAGUAAUGCAACAACUAUGGAUGCAAGCUGUCGUUAAAUCCUAAAGAAGAAGAAAAAGAAGAAGAAGAAGAAGAAGAAGAAGAAGACGACGACUUUACUGUGUUUGGAUUUUACUGGUAUGCCGGACAACGUCUCGCGUUCAACUCCUCUAGGACGCGAUCCACAACUUUCAGCCAGUCCGCAGACUGACGAGAAGAAACUGCUGAUUUCUAUCAGUGGACUGUCUCGUCAGCUUACUCAACAUACUGCCGACAUGAAUGAGAGAUGGCGGCUCUGCAGUCGAAGAACUGUGCUGGAGAGACUAACUCCAUCAAGAGAAGACGGAUGCACAAACGCUUGCGGUAAGAAUAUAUUUGACUGCUAGCUAAGCUAAAAGUAGCCUAGCCAUAACCCAAAGCUAAGGGUGUGUUUUUUGUGAUUUACAGUACGCCGUCUUCACAACUCGGAGACAAAUUGCAGGCGCUAUGAACCGGCGCAAGGACUAAGCACGCCUCAUAAUGAGGCAGUUACCUCCUAUCUGCUCGGAGCAAUAACUGCAAGCCUCGAUUUACACUAUAUUGAUAAAGACGACAUUGUGUCCGCCUGUAAGACGUAUUACGAGACGGUACGCAGGAGCUUCAGAUAUACGCAGCCAGAGAACUCAAUGCGGGCGGAAGCUGCCAAGAAUUCAGCUCGGAGUCGAGCGAGAAGAAAGAGGCUGCAGGAAUCGAGGCAGAGCGUGCUAGCUGAUGAGGAAGUGGAACUCUGGAUGUCCGCCACCGUCGACCUCAUGUCUGACGAGGAAGAUGGCGUCGUUGGCGGGGCGCCGUCAUUUCGUAGGCCGGAUC
Long non-coding RNA from Fundulus heteroclitus (mummichog), 928 nucleotides. RefSeq lists it as uncharacterized. The transcript has 5 exons. The record is from RefSeq and is a predicted model, not a curated record. Lineage: Eukaryota; Metazoa; Chordata; Actinopteri; Cyprinodontiformes; Fundulidae.